RNAcentral lists this ribosomal RNA (468 nucleotides) under uncultured bacterium. RNAcentral describes it as "partial 16S ribosomal RNA". It matches the Rfam family "Bacterial small subunit ribosomal RNA", at positions 28 to 507 of the family's 1533-position model. The record is from RNAcentral.
GACGAACGCUGGCGGCGUGCUUAACACAUGCAAGUCGAACGGAAAGGCCCUGCUUUUGUGGGGUGCUCGAGUGGCGAACGGGUGAGUAACACGUGAGUAACCUGCCCUUGACUUUGGGAUAACUUCAGGAAACUGGGGCUAAUACCGGAUAGGAGCUCCUGCUUCAUGGUGGGGGUUGGAAAGUUUCGGCGGUUGGGGAUGGACUCGCGGCGUAUCAGCUUGUUGGUGGGGUAGUGGCUUACCAAGGCUUUGACGGGUAGCCGGCCUGAGAGGGUGACAGGCCACACUGGGACUGAGAUACGGCCCAGACUCCUACGGGAGGCAGCGGUGGGGAAUAUUGCACAAUGGGCGGAAGCCUGAUGCAGCAACGCCGCGUGCGGGAUGACGGCCUUCGGGUUGUAAACCGCUUUCGCCUGUGACGAAGCGUGAGUGACGGUAAUGGGUAAAGAAGCACCGGCUAACUACGUG